This 75-nucleotide transfer RNA is filed under the name compost metagenome. RNAcentral's name for it is "tRNA-Lys". It matches the Rfam family "tRNA". From Rfam's summary of the family: Transfer RNA (tRNA) molecules are approximately 80 nucleotides in length. Their secondary structure includes four short double-helical elements and three loops (D, anti-codon, and T loops). The record is from RNAcentral.
UGCGCUCGUAGCUCAGUGGUAGAGCACUCGACUUUUAAUCGAGGUGUCAUAGGUUCGACCCCUAUCGGGCGCAUC